Molecule: transfer RNA, 65 nt
Filed under: Saccostrea glomerata
Lineage: Eukaryota; Metazoa; Mollusca; Bivalvia; Ostreida; Ostreidae
Also listed under: 8 other names
Description: tRNA-His
Source: RNAcentral
GCUUAAAUAGUUUAUAAAAACAUCAACUUGUGGCGUUGAAGAUACUAAAAUAAUAGUUUUAGGUU